This 28-nucleotide non-coding RNA is filed under the name Homo sapiens (human). The record is from RNAcentral. Lineage: Eukaryota; Metazoa; Chordata; Mammalia; Primates; Hominidae.
UUGGCCAUCGGGAAGUGCAGCGGUCCCA